CAAAAUCUAGUAAAAUAAUGUUAUAUUUUAAUUAAACUGCCAGAUACACUUCUCUAAUACUUUUCCCCCCUACAUUUUGGGGCUACAUUCUCUUUUAUCAUUUCUUCAUGUGACAACAAUUUUUUUGCAUUUUAUAUAGAGAGAAUAAAAUGAUAAUCCAGACCUUCCAACAUGGUUGAUUAAAAUUUAUUUUUUUAUUAUUGAUAGUUUGGAACAGUUUUAGGUAUAUAAAUAGCUAUUGUUAAUACUAUAAUACACUUUGAUUGUUGUCAAAUUUGGUAAAGGCUCUAUUAAGUUUCUUUUUUUUUUUUUUUUUUGAGAUGAAGUCUCACUCUGUCACUCAGGCUGGAGUGCAGUGGCAAGAUCUUGGUUCACUGCAACCUCUGCCUCCCGGGUUCAAGCGAUUCUCCUGCUUCAGCCUCCCGAGUAGAUGGGAUUACAGGUGCCUGCCAUCACGCCUGGUUAAUUUCUGUAUUUUUAGUAGAGAUGGAGUUUCACUUGUUGGCCAGGCUGGUCUUGAACUCCUGACCUCAGGUGAUCUGCCUGUCUCGGCCUCCCGAUGUAUUGGGAUUACAGGCGUGAGCCACCGCGUCCAGCUAUUAAGUUUCUUUUAAUUAUGAGCUGU
This 625-nucleotide long non-coding RNA is filed under the name Homo sapiens (human). RNAcentral describes it as "HSALNT0292285". The record is from RNAcentral. Lineage: Eukaryota; Metazoa; Chordata; Mammalia; Primates; Hominidae.